UCUUGACCUUUCUGGUAUCUCCCUUUCUCUUUACAGAACUCAUGACCUCACAUGAUGACCACAAAUACAUUGGCAUUUGGGCCAAGGCAGCACAGUGCAACUUUGGAAGAAAGACCCUAAGAUCUACACAUUUCUCUUUAACUUCUCAAUAUACAUUUGAGAAGCCAAGUCUAAAACUACUUGCUUUGAAAGGUAAACUAUUUCAACAUUACUUCUAAGAGAGAAUUGAGUUUAUUUAUAUUUUACAAAUCUGUGUUAAUCUACCUUUACUAUCUAAUUUGCAUCUUUAAUAUUUAUUAUGUGUCCCAAGGAAACCAGAAUUGAAAGAGACACGUGUAUCCUUCAUUGCAGCACUGUUUACAAUAGCCAGGACAUGGAAGCAAUCUAGAUGUCCAUCAGCAGACAAAUGGAUAAGAAAGCUGUGGUACAUAUACACAAUGGAGUAUUACUCAGCUAUUAAAAAUGAUGCAUUUGAAUCAGUUCUAAUGAGGUGGAUGAAACUAGAGCCUAUUUUACAGAGUGAAGUAAGUCAGAAAGAAAAACACCAAUACAGUAUAUUAACGCAUAUGUAUGGAAUUUAGAAAGAUGGUAAUGAUGACCCUAUAUGCAAGACAGCAAAAGAGACACAGAUGUAAAAAACAGUCUUUUGGACUCUGUGGGAGAAGGUGAGGAUGGGAUGAUUUGAGAGAAUAGCAUUGAAACAUGUAUAUUAUCAUAUGCGAAAUAGAUCGUCAGUCCAGAUUCAAUGCAUGAGACAGGGUGCUCAGGGCUGGUGCACUGGGAUGAUCCAGAGGGAUGUGAUGGAGAGAGA
This 811-nucleotide long non-coding RNA is filed under the name Capra hircus (goat). Its description in RNAcentral is "lncRNA (ENSCHIG00000005861.1)". Lineage: Eukaryota; Metazoa; Chordata; Mammalia; Artiodactyla; Bovidae. The record is from RNAcentral.